Molecule: ribosomal RNA, 460 nt
Filed under: uncultured bacterium
Lineage: Bacteria
Description: partial 16S ribosomal RNA
Rfam family: Bacterial small subunit ribosomal RNA
Source: RNAcentral
CCUACGGGUGGCAGCAGUGAGGAAUAUUGGUCAAUGGACGAGAGUCUGAACCAGCCAAGUAGCGUGAAGGAUGACUGCCCUAUGGGUUGUAAACUUCUUUUAUAUGGGAAUAAAAUGUUCCACGUGUGGGAUUUUGUAUGUACCAUAUGAAUAAGGAUCGGCUAACUCCGUGCCAGCAGCCGCGGUAAUACGGAGGAUCCGAGCGUUAUCCGGAUUUAUUGGGUUUAAAGGGAGCGUAGGUGGAUUGUUAAGUCAGUUGUGAAAGUUUGCGGCUCAACCGUAAAAUUGUAGUUGAAACUGGCAGUCUUGAGUACAGUAGAGGUGGGCGGAAUUCGUGGUGUAGCGGUGAAAUGCUUAGAUAUCACGAAGAACUCCGAUUGCGAAGGCAGUUCACUGGACUGCAACUGACACUGAGGCUCGAAAGUGUGGGUAUCAAACAGGAUUAGAUACCCUAGUAGUC